Etheostoma cragini (Arkansas darter) is the source of this 196-nucleotide long non-coding RNA. RefSeq lists it as uncharacterized. The transcript is spliced from 3 exons. The record is from RefSeq and is a predicted model, not a curated record. NCBI's taxonomy places the organism in Eukaryota, Metazoa, Chordata, Actinopteri, Perciformes, Percidae.
GCUAAAUACAAGCAGGACCAUCGGCCUAUUAACUUACAGCUUGUUUCGCCGCUGCCGAAUGCAGCGAUCUCACUUAAUACUGGACCAGUGUCAAAGAUUGUUGUUUCCAUCAGUCACUUAGACUCAAACAUAAAGGAAAAUAGUUUGAAAAAUGGUAAUUACCCUUUGACGCCCCGUUCCCAGAGUUUCCAUGUUU